Molecule: long non-coding RNA, 9053 nt
Organism: Equus caballus (horse)
Lineage: Eukaryota; Metazoa; Chordata; Mammalia; Perissodactyla; Equidae
Source: Ensembl
AAUAUAUAUUUAUAUAUGAAGUAUAUAUACUUUUGCUUCUUAUGUUUAUAUGUUAUUAAACAGCUGGCAGUAUUCACUUCUGCGGCCUUAAGAAAGUGUUAAAAUGAUGUGUGUAUGUGGCCAUGAGGGUCAUCACAGAUAUGCUCCACUGAUGUGCUAAAAUGCUUACAUAUAAUAGGUCUUAAUACUCUACCUCCUGGUUCUCUCUGUGAAAUAGCAGUUAGAUAUAUUUGUUUAAAAUGUAUACAUAAUAUGGUAAUAAAGACUACAGGUAGUCAUUCCUUUGCACAGUUCUGACAUGCAUGAAUUUUAGUUACCACAUUUUAUUUUACCAUGUGUAACAUUUUAUAAUUUUACUUACUGUGAGAUAAGAGAAAAUAUAUAUUGGUCUCUGCCACCAAGUUCCUGGCACAGGGCUCCUGAAACCAUUGUAAUUUCCUGAGUGAAAGGAGUGUCUUUCGUUCUAAUGAGGCAACUCUGGGUGGGCACCUGCAUGAGGGCUGGUCACGGGAAAGAAUAAGUCAUAAUUAGAUGCUUGGAAUUUUCAGCCCCUCCCCCUAUUCUCUUGAGAAGGAAGAAGGGCUGAAAAUAGAGUUAAUUAUCGAUCAUUCCUACAUGAUGAAGCCUCCAUAAAAAUCCCAAUAGUAUGGGGUCCAGAGAGCUUCCAGGUCAGUGAACACAUCCACGUACAAGGAGGGUGACACACAUCAACUCCACGGGGACAGAAGCUCCUGUGCUCCAGACCGUCCCAGACCUCACCCUAUGUAUCUCUUCAUCAGAUCUUUCAAUAAACUAGUAGAUGUCAGUGUUUCCCUGAGUUCUUGCAAACUGUUCUAGCAAAUAAUCAAGUCCAUGGGGCAGGAGGUCAUGGGAAAGUCGAUUUGUAGCCAAGUCACACAGAAGUUGUGGAUAAGCUGGGGUCCUACUACUUGCGAUUGACAUCUAAAGUAGGGGCACUCUUGUGGGACUGAGCCCUUAACCUGUGGGAUGUGAUGCUAUCUCCAGGUAAUAGUGUCAGAAUUAAAUAGUAGGAUGACACCCAGCUGGUGUCGCAGAAUUGCUUCAUGUGGGGAAAAAACCCCACAUGUUUGGUGGCCGGAAGUGUCAGCAGUAAAGCGUCCUGUGUGAAAGUAAAGGAGAAGGGCACAGGAGGAGAACUGAAGGUUUCUGCAAUACAGUCACCAAGUGUAUUAGUUUCCUAGUGCUGCUGUAACAAAGUGCCACAAACUGAGUGACUUAAAACAACCGAAAUUUAUUCUCUUAGAGUUUUUCUGGAGGUAGAAGUCUGGUGUCGGCAGAGCCCUCAUUCCUUGCCCCUUAGAGCUUCUGGCAGCCCCAGGUGCUCCUUGGUUAAUAGCCACAUAACUCCAAUCUCUGCCUCCAUCUUCACACGAUGUUCUUCCUACCCAUCUUCACGUUGUCUUCUUACAAGGACAUGAGUCAUGCUGGAUUAAUGGCCCAUCCUAUUCCAGGAUGACCUCAUCUGAACUAAUUACAUCUACAACAACUCUGUUUCCAAAUAAGUUCACAUUCUAAAGGACGAGGGGUUAAGACUUCAAAUUAUUUUUCAGGAUCACCAUUCAACUCACAGCACAACGGUUUCACUAAAUAACACCAGUCCCCCAACAACAUGUUUCACAUUUCAGUUACCAUGGUAUAUUAACUGUGAGUAAUUGCAUAAAGUAAAAACCGUGCUGAUAGCUUUUGUUAAAAACAAGGCAACGGGCCCCAAAUGGAGUUGUUUAUUCUAAGCCCCAGAUCACCAAGCUGAGACUUGACCGAAUUACAGUUUCAGCUCUCCCCGAAAUGGAAUCUUAAACCAGUCAGUCAGGGAUCAGCUGAUAGCACUAGUUAGUAAUCUGCUGAUAGAACCCUGCCAUCUCCCAAAGGAAAGUAACCUUGCUGUAACCAACUCACUUUUUUGCCUAGUAUAACUUCCUUGUUCCUGCUCCCUUCUGCCUAUAAAAGUCUUUCAUUUUGUACCGCUCCUCAGAGCUCCUUUCUGUCUGUUAGAUCGGAUGCUGCCCGAUUCAAAUUGAUUUUUGUUCAAAUAAACUCAAAAUUUUUAAUAUACCUCCGUUUAUCUUUUAACAGUCUUCAGCACAAAAAUCACUAUGUAAAUAACAGACGCACAUCAUCAUCAGUGACCAAUCACGUCACUUCUUCAAAGUCUGUCGGUGACGGAUCACUGCGCAUAUCAUAGGAGUAGCAUUGCAAUAAGCAGCUAACACCCUUAAUGCUACAGAAACCAAGGAAAGAGGUUGGAAUUAUUAAAACUUAAAAGUUUAGAGAAAACUCCAUGUAGAGCUAAAAUCUAGACUUCUGAGGAAUAGGCGCUGAGGGGGCCGCAGUCAGUUGCUGCUGGUGUCUCUGAGGGUAUUGGAGGCAAAUUAAGUUCAUUCUGCUACUGCUGGGAAGUCUGCAAACUAGAUUCAGCUGCUUCUACAAGCAGGCACUGCUGCUGCCAGGGUGAAGAAGCAUUGUUGGGGUGAUGCUCACAGGAACCACAAGGAGACAGGAAGCAGACAGGAAGUGCCAUCCAAACAGAUGUGAGGUGAUAUCUCAUUGUGGUUUUGGUUUGCAUUUCCCUGAUGAUUAGCGAUGCUGAGCACCUUUACCUUGAUGAAUUUUGAAGAGAUAUUCUGGAGAAAGAUUCAAAUCUGUGUGAACACAUCUGCUAAGUGAUCCACUAUUUUUUUGUGGCUUCUUGUGAUGGAGGGGUGAGCAUGAUUCAAGGUCUCCUUCUCUAGACUGCUGUGUGCUCUGAGAGGCAGAGGCUGGCCUAUAUGAACUGUACCAACAAGCUUCCUUGCUCUCUGGCUUCCUAUUGGAUCUGGCCAGGGGGGAGCAUCCAAAGGACAUCAGAGGGCAGGAAAAGACAUGGAGAGACCGUCUGCCUGUGACCAUCCUGGACAACGCCUGCUCGUCUCUCAGCAUCUCCGCUCAGUCCUGCUUCCUUGGUGAAGUCUUCCACAACUCCCAAGGUGGAGAGUUCGGAGAAGACAACCACACCCUCACUUCUGGAGGUAGAUCGUCAUUAGUUUAAGCCAAUCAACAGAUGACAUUCCUCUGGCUACAAUUGGUCCAGGGAAGAAAGAGAGACACUAGGGAUACAUGAGCACAGAUGAAAGGCCAUGUGAGGACACAGCAAGAAGAUGGGGACCAUCUGCAAGCCCAGGAGAGAGGCCUCAGGAGAAACCAGCCCUGUUGACACCUUGAUCUUGGACUUCCAGCCUCCAGAGCUGUGAGGAAUAAAUUUCUGUUGCUUUAGCCCUCCAGUUUGUGGUGUUUUGUUUCGUUAGCCCCAGCAGACUAAUACAUAAGGUAAUACAUUUUCUCACUGCUUAAGAAAUGUUGAGUUGAGAUUUUCUAUUACUUGCAGCCAGAAUCAUUUUGACACAGGAUAUUCGUGAUCUCCUUCCCUGCCCCUUUCUGCAAGUCUUUUUUUUUUUUUAAGAUUGUCACCGGAGCUAACAUCUGUUGCCAGCCUUCUUUUUCUUCUUCUUCGUCUUCUCCUCCCCAAAGCCCCACAGUACAUAGUUGUAUAUUCUAGCUGUAGGUCCCUCUGGCUGUGCUAUGUGAGAUGCCAUCUCAGCAUGGCUUGAUGAGCAAUGCCAUGUCCCCACCCAGAAUCUGAACUGGUGAAACCCUGGGCCACCGAAGCGGAGGGUGCAAACUUAUCCACUUGGCCAUGGGGCUGGCCCCUCUGCAAGACUUCUCUAUGCUGCUUUGUCACUUGUUUUCUGUUUCUCAGGGCACAGAAGCCAGUUGUUUCUAUUGCAUCCUUGCCUUUAGAUGGGGUUUCUAGGAAAAUAAUUUAAAAAGACAUAUUUGGGUCCAUAUGUGCCAAUUCCAAAAUCUCAGAAGAGAAAGCCAGAUUGGUGCAGCUUGGGUCUGGUUAGCACCCUUGAACCAAUCAGCUGAGGCUAAGAGGACAGGAGACAUGGAGUAGUUGAAAGGGAUUAUGGGAGUAAACUCUUAGAGAAAGAGAAUGGGCAUGUUUCUCUUAUAGGAGAUAUGGGGACAAGCAGGAAAUAAUUGGCUUUUUGAAUAUAGAAAUCUUAUUCAUCAUUAUAUUCCUAGUCCCUAGCACAUAUAAUGGAUCUGAGUAAAUCUGACUUAAACUAAGGAAUAAAAGAUGGGCAAUUGCUGGAAUAUAGAAAAAUAUUGAAUCCAUCUUUGUUUAGUGAAAGAGACACAGAUCUAUCUUGGUCUGUGUAGUGGAUGGUGUGGUUUGUAGUCCAGACACCCUCUCCCAGCCCAAGCCUGAAGAACUCAUUCCUCCAGCCGCUGGGAGUACUGGCAGCUGAUGUGUUUCAGCUGAGUCUCUCUCAGAAUUUUCCUUGGCUAAAGAGUGCUUCCUAGUCCAAGGCCAGGCCUCCUUCCGGGAGGCAAUUCAUGUCCAAAAACUGGUGAAUGCGGAGAUAUACAGACCUAGCCUUGUUGUUUCAACUUGGGCAACUCUGGAGAACUCAUCCCGACUCCAGAGCUCCUGAUAGGAUGGCCUGUGGCAUUUGUUUCGUCUGAAUCACAGUUCAGCUUUUCUCAUUGCACAACCUUGUUUCUUUAUUUCCCCACAGGAGUUGAUUCUAAGAGUAAUCCCCGAUAAAGCUCCCGCAGGCAAAUCUCUGCCUCAGAAUUUGGUUCAUGGUGAAUUCAUCCCGCAACAACUGGUGCCUGAGUGUCUGAGAUAGCAGACUCUAAGAGGGGACUUUGGAAAUGGAUCACUCAUGGGCCAAGUAUCAACGGGAGCCCCGUCCAUGUUGGUAGAAAUAGCAAAUAGUCCAUGGCAUGCUGUAGCAGGACAAUGUUUAAAACUUUCACCAAUGGUGAACUUGGAUCGUAUAUCAGCGGAAGGAAUGCACUGAUGGAUUCAAAGUAACACUCAUUUCAGAAUGACAGAGGAAAUAAUAAAUACAAGGACAAUGAAAUUGGUUGGUUAUUUCUGAGGGCCAUGGAAUCUCUGAAGAAACAUAAUGAAAGGGUGAUUAGUUAUCAAUUAAAGGCUAAGUACGAAAGCCAGAGGGCCUCCUUGGUAGCAUAAAAGAGACUCAUCUUCUGCAGCUGUAGGUCCCCAAAAAGCUGAGGGUGACAAGAGUAGCAGAGCUCUAGAGAGAAUUAAAUUCUCAGCCACAGCAAGUCUGCUCUGCUCAAGUCAGGGCUCUGACUGGGGAGGAGCAGGCUCCUGAGAUAGGGGAUGGAGAUGUCUGGCUUGAUGCACUUGACAGUAUUAAAUCCUCAGAUUCCUCUCCAGACGUGGCUCACUCUGUUAAAGGCUAAUUCUCUCCCUUCAGGGAAGUAGACAGUUCUCUCCCUAAAUAAGCAAGUAGACAAUGACUGUUUAUGUCACCCAGGCUCUGUCAUCAGUCACCCCAGUGCUGGGUACUGCGUACAGGAACAGGGUAGACAUGGUAGCAAGGACAGAGCCCACGCCCUGGUCCUACAGAAUGGGUUGCCACAUACCAGGACUGAUCCAGCUGUUGUUGCUGCCAAAUGCUGCUGAGACCAACCCUAGGCCCCUGAUAUGCCACUUGGUGGCAAGUUAACUACAUUGGAUCUAUUUCAGCAAUUCAUCUCGACUGGAACUGACACACAUUCUGGGUACCACUCGUGUCUAUAGGACCUCAUCCAGCAUCAUUAUCUGAGAGCAUACAAAGUGUUUCAUUGCUGACAUGGGAUCCUGGGUGACAUCUCAUUGGACUAGGGGACCCAUGUUACAGCAUAGGAGAUAUAGCAGUUCAUACAUGAUCUUAAGAUCCGCUAGCCCUAUCACAUACUAUUCCACAGAGAGGCUGCUGGUUUGAUAAAGUGAUGGAACAGCUUUGAUUAAAAACAGAUGUAAUAAAACCCAUUGAGGUGCCAGCUUGGAGAGAACUCAGAGAGGAUGUGGGCACCAGUCUCCAGGAUCAGUAUAUAUCUUUUUUUUUUUUUGAGGAAGAUUAGCCCUGAGCUAACUACUGCCAGUCCUCCUCUCUUUUGCUGAGGAAGCCUGGCCCUGAGCUAACAUCCGUGCCCAUCUUCCUUUACUUUAUAUGUGGGACCCCUACCACCGCAUGGCGUGCUAAGCCGUGCCGUGUCCGUACCCGGGAUCCGAACCGACGAACCCGGGGCUGCCGAGAAGCGGAACGUGUGAACUUAACUGCUGCGCCACCAGCCAGGCCCCUCAGUAUAUAUCUUAAAUCAACUAGCAUUGUAUAAUGUUGAGUCUCCAGUAAGCAGAUGUGAUAGAGUCAUUUACAGCUGGACUGGAAAGACUGUCUCUUUGUCUCUGGAGGUGUCUGGUUUUCGACUCUUAGCCAAGAUAAGAGCAGUGGGAUUUAUGAUGUGCUGUCAAAGGCCUGAAACUCCCAAGGCCAAUUUCUUUACUGACAGUCUUCAACUGGCCUAACCGGCUUGACAAGCCUGGCCAAGAGUGCAUGAAAACUCCAUUGGGAACUUCUGCAUUUAGACUUCCCAAAGCUAAGCUUCCUUGCACAGAUAUUUGGUGGUUUGACCCAGAUUCAGAGUGCAAUUGUGUUCGAAUAAGGACCCUGGGAAGUUAUAUAUGCAAUAUCUCUGAGACUUCCAAUGUAUGCUCAAGCUUGCCAUCUCUUACUGCAACGUAUUAUUUGCCUUUAAAUAAAAGCCGUAAGUGAGUCUGCUUAGUCCUUUCAAAUCUCUGAACUUGGGAAAUCUUUGCAGUAAAAUAUAUGGGUCUGGGAAACAAUGGAUGAGUGCAGGAUUGGCUCCACUAACCAUCACUCCCCAGUAACGCACUGGGGAAGCUGUGUUCACUGUCUCUGAAACUCUGCAGAUUUGAGAUCCUGCUUCUCAAAGAGGAAACACUAGGGGACACAGCAAGUGUUUCAUUAAACCUUAAGCUAUAGCUGUCACUCAGUUUCUUCAAACUCAUUGUGCCAAAAGACUUGCAGUCAAGGAAAGGAUUCACCAUCCUGGGAGAAGUAAUUAACUCUCAUCAUCAGGAAAGAAUAUGUUUGGCAACCAUGUGAUCUACUUGGCUUCUUGAUACUCCCUUGCCCAAUUUUUUUUUUUUGAGGAAGAUUAGCCCUGAGCUAACAUCUGCUGCCAAUCCUCCUCUUUUUGCUGAGGAAGACUGGCCCUGAACUAACAUCUGUGACCAUCUUCCUCUACUUUAUAUGUGGAACACCUGCCACAGCAUGGCUUGCCAAGCAGUGCUAUGUCCGCACCCCGGAUCGGAAGCACCAAAGCGGAACGUGUACACUUAACUGCUGUGCCACUGGGCCGGCCCCCCAGUUUUGACUGUGAAUGAACAAGUAAAAUAAGCACAUCUGGAGAAGGGGAUGAUGACCAGGGUCUUAGACCCCACAGGAAUGAGGUUCUGGGUCACCCCACCUAGGUAAACCACGUAGGCCAGAAGGGGUAAAGGGAAUCUAGAAGUGGUAGUAGCGGACAAUGAUGAUGAGUGUUAGUUAUGGUCUUGAGCUAAGCUGCACGGUGGGUGCUGGAGUGCAUUUCACUAACCUUUCUCUCACAAUUCUUUCCCCAACUCCCUGCUUCCAACAGGUCCUUUAAAAUCCUAGAGGAGCUGCUCUUAGAACUUAUUUGAAGCGAGUGGAUCCGAGAAGCCCAGGGAUGGACUGUGGACCACCCAGACCCCCAAAGGCAGGACGGAAGCUCCGAGUCCCCCAGCUGCUGAGAAUGGUGUCAGCCAACAGUUCUCUGCCGAGCCUUUCUCCAGGACCCGGCCUUGGUUGAAGAGUGCCGCCUUGCCGGAGGCCUCCCCCGUCCCAGGCGUAGCUCAUACCCAAUGUCUGGUUGUUGUGGGGAUAUAAAAUCCUGAUCCUCUUGCCCAGUUUGGAGUAACUCUGGAGUGUCAUCCUGUCCCUAGAGUUCCCUUUAGGAUUAGCUGAGGCCUUUGUUGUGACUGUGUCACUGUUCAACUUUUCUCUCUGCUCAGUUUUACUUCUUUUCCACCCCCAGAGGUUUUGUCGUUGAGAGUGCUCCGCACUAAACAUUCUGCACUCAAUCUCUGUCACAGUUUGCUUUUCAGGGAACUCAGCCAUCUGAAGGCAUCUUUCCAAACCCGGCCUAGUCCCCACGGAGCCCGUAAUUGCCCUCUCACUUUUGAUGGAAGACUACAACGGUUCUCAAACAGUAUUUCAAGGAAGCUCUGGGUGGAGGUGCUUCACUGCAAGUGUUUAAUUUCAAUAGCAUUCCUGAAAGACCAUUUUAACCAUGAAAACCACAAAAACCAACAAUAAGCACUAUUGCAACGAUAAAAACUAUUUUAAAACUGUGAACACAGAAAUGUAAAUGUGUUCUAUACUAAAUUUUACACAUCUUUGACAGUGUAUUAACUUGUGGUGCCAGCUCAUAUCAUUUCCGGGCAGACCUCAGAAGAAAGUUUCUCUUUCAUUAUGGCGCAUAUAUUUCAACUCUUAAAAUGUGUUGCCUAAUGAUGGGGACACAUUCUGAGAAACGCGUCGUUAGGUGAUUUUGUUGUGCCAACAUCAUAUAGCUUGCUUACACAAACCUAGAUGGUAUAGCCUACUACACACCUAGGCUGGAUGGUACUAAUCUUACAGGACCACCGUCAUACACACGGUUCGUCGUUGACUGAAAUGCCGUUAUGUGGUGCAUGACUGUAAUUAUUAUUAUUAUUUUUUAAAGAUUUUAUUUUUUCCUUUUUCUCCCCAAAGCCCCCCGGUACAUAGUUGUACAUUUUUAGUUGUGGGUCUUUCUAGUUGUGGCAUGUGGGAUGCCGCCUCAGCAUGUCCUGAUGAGUGGUGCCAUGUCCGCGCCCAGUAUUCGAACCAAAACCCUGGACCACCACAGCGGAGCACACGAACUUAACCACUCGGCCACAGGGCCGGCCUCUAUUUUUGAAUAUAUAAUACAGGUACACAUUAUAGAACUCAAAAAGUACAAAGGAAUAUAUAUAAAAUACAAUAAAAAUUCCCUUCCACUCCUGUCUUCUGGUUUCCCAGUUCCCUUGCCAGGGGAAACCAUAGCUCUUAAUAUUCUAUGUAUUACUCUACACACACACACACACACACACACACACACACUUUUCUCCCCUGUAUACACUGUUG